RNAcentral lists this long non-coding RNA (3470 nucleotides) under Homo sapiens (human). RNAcentral's name for it is "HSALNT0382369". Lineage: Eukaryota; Metazoa; Chordata; Mammalia; Primates; Hominidae. The record is from RNAcentral.
AGACACCCCCUGGGAUGGCUCAAAGGAGUCAGGACUUGGAAGUGGGGACAUCAGGGUAGCUGAAGGAAAUCCACACACCCAGAACAUCUCGGGGUUCAGACUCUCUGACCUGAGAAGUACCUUUCGCCUCCCACCAUGAUUCUGAGGCCUCCCCAGCCAUGUGGAACUGUAAGUCCAAUUAAACCUCUUUUUCUUCCCAGUCUUGGGUAUGUUUUCAUUGGAAGUGUGAAAAUGGACUAAUACAAUAAAUUGGUACCAGUAGAGUGGGGCAUUGCUGAAAAGAUACCUGAAAAUGUGGAAGUAGCUUUGGAACUAGGUAACAGGCAAAGGUUGGAACAAUUUGGAGGGCUCAGAAGAAGGCAGAAAAACGUGGGAAAGUUUGGAACUUCCUAGAGACUUGUUGAAUGACUUUACCCCGAAUGCUGAUAGUGAUACGGACAAUAAGAUCCAGGCUAAGGUGGUCUCAGAUGGUGACAAGGAACUUGUUGGGAAGUGGAGCAAAGAUGAUUCUUGUUAUGUUUUAGCAAAGAGACUGGUGGCAUUUUGCCCCUGCCCUAGAGAUUUGUGGAAUUUUGAACUUGAGAGAGAAGAUUUAGGGUAAUCUGGCUGAAGAAAUUUCUAAGUAGCAAAGCAUUUAAGAGGUGACUUGGGUACUGUUGGCAUUCAGUUUUAUAAGGGAAGCAGGGCAUAAGUUUGGAAAAUUUGCAGCCCGACUAUGCGAUAGAAAAGAAAAACCCAUUUUCUGGGGAGAAAUUCAAGCCAGCUGCAGAAAUUUGCAUAAGUAGCAAGGAGCCUAAUGUUAAUCCCCAAGACCAUGGGGAAAAUGUCUCCAGGCUAUGUCUCCAGACCUUCACAGCAGACCCUUCCAUCACAGGCCCAGAGGCCCAGGAGGAAAAAGUGGUUUUGUGGGCCGGGGCCAGGGACCCUGUGCUGUGUGCAGCCUAGGGUUUUGGUGCCGUAUGUCCCAGCCACUUAGCCGUGGCUGAAAGGGGCCAACGUACAGCUCAGGCUGUGGCUUCAGAGGGUGGAAGCCCCAAGCCUUGGCAGCUUCCAUGUGGUGUUGAGUCUGUGAGUGCAUAGAAGUUAAGAAUUGAGGUUUGGGAACCUCCACCUAGAUUUCAGGAGAUGUAUGGAAAUGCCUGGAUGCCCAGGCAAAAGUUUGCUGCCAGGGCCUUCAUGGAGAACCUCUGCUAGGGCAGUGCAGAAGGGAAAUGUGGGGUCAGAGCCCCCCCCACAGAGUCCCUCCUGGGGCACUGCCUAGUGGAGCUGUGAGAAGAGGACCACUAUCCUCCAGACCCCAGAAUGAUAGAUCCACUGACAGCUUGCACCAUGUGCCUGGAAAAGCCACAGCACUCAAUGCCAGCCUUUGAAAACAGCUGGGAGGGAGGCUGUACCCUGCAAAGCCCCAGGGGUGGAGCUGCCCAAGACCAUGGGAACCCAAUUCUUGCAUCAAUGUGACCUGGAUGUGAGACAAAGGAGAUAAUUUUGGUGCUUUAAAAUUUGACUGUCCCACUGGAUUUUGGACUUGCAUGGGCCUUGUAAUCCCUUUGUUUUGGUCAGUUUCUCCCAUUUGGAACAACUGUAUUUACCCAAUAUCUGUACCCUCAUUGUAUCUAGGAAGUAACUAGUUUGUUUUUGAUUUUUACAAGCUCAUAGGCGAAAGAGACUUCCCUUGUCUCAGAUGAGACUUUGGACUGUGGACUUUUUGGGUUAAUGCUGAAAUGAGUUAAGAUUUUGGGGGACUGUUGGGAAGGCAUGAUUGGUUUUGAAAUAUGAGGACAUGAGAUUUGGAGGGGCCAGGGGUGGAAUGAUAUGGUUUGGCUGUGUCCCCACCCAAAUCUCAACUUGAAUUGUAUCUCCUAGAAUUCCCACAUGUUGUGGGAAGGACCCAGGAGGUGGUAACUGAAUCAUGGGAGCUGGUCUUUCCCGUGCUAUUCUCAUGAUAGUGAACAAGUCUCAUGAGAUCUGAUGAGUUUAUUGAGGUUUCUGCUUUUGCUUCUAUCUCAUUUUCUCCUGCCACCACCAUGUUAAGAAGUGCCUUCCGCCUCCCGCCAUGAUUCUGAGGCCUCCCCAGCCAUAUGGAGCUAUAAGUCCAAUUAAACCUCUUUUUCUCCCCAGUCUCAGGUAUGUUUUUAUGAGCAGUGUGAAAACGGACUAAUACAUGCCUCCUCAGGUCACUGUGAGGAUUUAGUGAAACAUUAUCCUAAAAAAAAUAAGUUAAAAGUCUUGCUUAAAUAUGACAAGCUUAUAAAAAUUAACAGAAGCAUUAUAUUAGAAUUUCUAAAGUCAUUUCCAUUGAAAUCAAGAAUAAGAAAAACAUGCUGCUUUCCCCAAUGUUAGUCAACAUUAUUUAAAAUGUUUAGCUAAUCAAACUGAAAAAAAUAAAACAAUUGGUAUGUAUAUUAUAUAAAAAAGGUAAAAUUGCAUAUUUUUGUAUAUAAUAGAGAAGAGAAAAUCUAAUAUUUUAAUAAAAUACAAUAAAUAAUUUAAUAAAAUAUCUCAAAUCAAGAUAUAUGGUACAUAAAAAUCAUUAGCCUUUCUCAAUAUGAAGAAUAACUAGUCAUGGAUAUAAAUUUAUUUUUUAAAUAACACAUAAAAGCAUUAUAUAUUGCUUAGGAAUAUAUAUAAAACCAUUAUCUAUUAUUUAGAAAUGCAAAAAUACAUUUAAGAAAUGUUUAAAUGUCUGGGAAUUAUACACACUGGCUUCUAGACACUAGUCAUAUAUCUAGAAAGGGGGAAGAUGAAAGAAUGUCAUCAUAUUCUAUAAAUAUGUCAAAAUGUUAAAAUCUAGUAAGUAUGAGAAGAGGGUACAUGUUGCCUGUAAUAUUUUUUUUAUAUUUCUCUGUAUAUUUGAAAUAUUUAAUAAUACAAUUUUAAAUUUGAAAUAUCUUCUCUAAAGUCAUGAUAAGGAUGGGCGGGGUGGCUCACGCCUGCAAUCCCAGCACUUUGGGAGGCCGAGGUGGGUGGAUCACCUUAGGUCAGAAGUUCGAGACCAGCUUGACCAAUAUGGUAAAACCUGUCUCUACUGAAACUACAAAAAUUAGCCAGGUGUGGUGGCAUGCACCUAUAGUCCCAACUACUUGGGAGGCUGAGGCAGGAGAAUUGCUUGAACUCGAGAGGCAGAGGUUGCAGUGAGUCGAGAUUGUACCACUGCACUGCAGCCUGGGAGACAGAGCAAGACUCCAUCUCAAAAAAAAAAAAAAUUGGCUGGGCGCGGUGGCUCACGCCUGUAAUCCCAGCACUUUGGGAGGCCUAGGCAGGUGGAUCACAAGGUCAGGAGAUCGAGACCAUCCUGGCUAACAUGGUGAAACUCCGUAUCUAAUAAAAAUACAAAAAAAUUAGCCAGGCAUGGUGGCGGGCGCCUGUAGUCCUAGCUACUCGGGAGGCUGAGGCAGGAGAAUGGCCAUGAACCCGGGAGGUGCAGCUUGCAGUGAGCUGAGAUCAUGCCACUACACUCCAGCCUGGGUGAC